This 2425-nucleotide long non-coding RNA is filed under the name Solanum lycopersicum (tomato). RNAcentral's name for it is "long non-coding RNA (SLYC_LNC000514)". Lineage: Eukaryota; Viridiplantae; Streptophyta; Magnoliopsida; Solanales; Solanaceae. The record is from RNAcentral.
UUUCACCGAAGAGCAGUUCAAAACAUUUGCAAGAUCAUCAGCCAGUUACGACAACUGCUCAAAUCCCUCAGCUGAUCUCAAUUACCCAUCAUUCAUUGCCUUGUACCCGUUCAGCCUGGAGGAGAACUUCACCUGGUUGGAGCAGAAAUUCAGGAGGACUCUAACAAAUGUUGGUAAAGGUGGAGCAACUUAUAAAGUACAGACAGAAACUCCCAAAAAUUCCAUAGUUUCGGUGUCACCGCGAACUCUGGUGUUCAAGGAGAAGAAUGAUAAACAAAGCUAUACUUUGUCAAUUCGCUCUAUAGGUGAUAGUGAUCAGAGUAGGAACGUUGGGUCAAUCACUUGGGUUGAAGAAAAUGGUAAUCACUCAGUUAGGAGUCCUAUAGUGAUAUCUAGGAUUAUUGAUGUUUGGGGUAGUGAUGACUAGGACAAGAGGGAAAUUAUGUACAUAUGUUGUCGACAUGGGAAAAAAUAAUGUAUGCACACAAAAGAAUUCCAGUAAACACCUUGCCAAAUAUGUUUGUGUGUGAGAGAAUUGGAAGAAAGGGAAGUGAGCAACUUGUUCUUUCUACUUCUCUCAGCUUGCUGUUUGGGAUUGCGCAUUAAUUUCGAGAUGAGGCUCCUCUCCAUUUUCUAUCUCUCCCUUUCUCAAACUCUAACUUGGAUGAGAGACAUGUAUCAUGAUAAAAAAGAUAAUGACUGAGAUUUAAUUAACCAAAGCAAUGUUCCAACCAUUGUUAAGAUAGCAAAUACUCCCUCCAUUUCAAUCGGUUUAUUGAUCCGUUUGAAAGAGGAUAUCGCUUUCUUUUUCUCUUUCAUUUUAACUUUUCACAUGGUAUGUUAAAACUACAAGAUUACAAAACGAUUUGGUAUAUUCUACAUGUCUUUUUUCACGUGGUAUGUUAAAACCACAAGAUUACAAAAUGAUUUGGUAUAUUCUACGUGUCUUUAGUUAAAAAGGACAAGAUUCAAAAAAAAAUUCAUACUCUCUUAAAAUCUAUGUCAAAUCAAAACUAGAUAAAUGAAGAAAGUAUUUACUUCAAUUUUUGAAUUUCUCUAAAUUCUUACAUCCAGUUGUUAGUUCUGUAAUUUUGUUUGUAAUUUUGAGUUAAUCUUUACUUGGUUGAGUUCCCAUUUUCUACAAUUUGAUUAAUUUUUGCUUUAAUAACUGACAAGUCAAUGUGUAAUCAAUGGCCAUUAAAAUAUUGAUAUUAGACCAAAAACAAUAUUAAGGUAUGACCAAAUUUGAGCGCGAUAUAAUGUUUGUAUUACGUUACAAAUGAAAUCAGAAUUUAAAGCUUAUAAAUAUUUAAUUUAAUAUUUUUCAAGUUAUUGAAUUCAAUGAAUUUUUAUUAAAAAUAUAAGAUUUGAACUAAAAUUAUUUGGUUCAAUCAAAUCCACACGUCCGAACACUUACAAGAACGAGAAAUAUUUUAAAGUAAGACCGAAAACUGAUUACCGGGAAAAUUUGCUACUUACGGAAAAAUGUGGCAGAUUUUUGGACUAUAUCUGAAAAUUAUGGCUGUUUCUGAAAUUCAGCAUUGUUCUUCUUACUCAACCAAUUUGCAGCUGAAAUUCGCCCAAACAAACACCGAAUCCUCCACCAAAUUAUCCCAAAUCUGAGAUAUGAGCUCUCCACGACAUUUCUAAUCUAUUGCAAUAAUAUUAAGUCCAAACGAAUCUUGUUUGCGUCAAAGCCAUUUUUUCGAACUUGAGCUUUGAUGAAGCUUCAAUGGCGGAUUGUCUUCUUCUUCUUCAAAUUGUUCCUUAUAACCACGAAACGGACAGGAAUCAGCAACGACAAAUCGAUCAAAACAGUACUCAUUCGGAACAGAUCCUUUGACUCGGGCUUUCAACUUCUUAGAGUAAGUUUUUUCCUUAUAUUUCUUAAAUGGCAACAACUGAUACAUGAAACUUUCAGCUCCAUUUCAAUGGCUAUCAACGAAAUGGUUUGGAAACCAGCAGCAGAUUCCUCAAACAGAUUUUCAGAUUUUUCAACUUUUUCUGGGUUUAAUUUGACAGUAGUUAUUUAGUGUUGAAUUCGAAAAUGAACUUGUGUAAAUAGGUAAUUUAAAUUGAAAUCCAAUAAUUUUGACUGAUUAGGGAAAAUCUAUUCAAAUUAAGGAUAUUUAUGUUGAGUUUAAUAGAGAGAAUAUAAUUAGUUUCGAUAGUAAUUAAUAAACAAAAAUACUAAAUCAGAGGGAUUUAAUUACUCAAUAUUUUAUCCUUUUCCUUUCAUUUAAUUGGCCCUUCCCAAAAUUUAUUUCCACAAAACAUAGAUAUAUGCUAUUUUCACAAGUCCUAAUCAUGAGAGAACGUUAGGGACAUUUUCUUAUCAAAUUAUCGAUAACGAGAUAAUUUUGAAUGAAAUUAUUAACGGAAAUUUUUUUUAAAUUUUUAUUUCCUCAUAAUUUAGAGAUAUUUU